RNAcentral lists this ribosomal RNA (301 nucleotides) under uncultured bacterium. RNAcentral describes it as "partial 16S ribosomal RNA". It matches the Rfam family "Bacterial small subunit ribosomal RNA", at positions 509 to 809 of the family's 1533-position model. The record is from RNAcentral.
CAGCCGCCGCGGUAAAACGUAGGUGGCAAGCGUUGUCCGGAAUUAUUGGGCGUAAAGCGCGCGCAAGCGGAUCAGUCAGUCUGUCUUAAAAGUUCGGGGCUUAACCCCGUGAUGGGAUGGAAACUGCUGAUCUAGAGUAUCGGAGAGGAAAGUGGAAUUCCUAGUGUAGCGGUGAAAUGCGUAGAUAUUAGGAAGAACACCAGUGGCGAAGGCGACUUUCUGGACGAAAACUGACGCUGAGGCGCGAAAGCCAGGGGAGCGAACGGGAUUAGAUACCCCUGUAGUCCCUGUCUCUUAUACA